GGAAGGGCUGUAGCUCAAUGGAAGAACAACUAUCUUGCAUGCAGAAGGUCUCAGGUUCAAAUCCUGGUAUCUCCA
This is a non-coding RNA of Podarcis lilfordi (Lilford's wall lizard), 75 nucleotides long. NCBI's taxonomy places the organism in Eukaryota, Metazoa, Chordata, Lepidosauria, Squamata, Lacertidae. The record is from the annotation of a GenBank genome assembly.